This 435-nucleotide ribosomal RNA is filed under the name uncultured bacterium. RNAcentral's name for it is "partial 16S ribosomal RNA". It matches the Rfam family "Bacterial small subunit ribosomal RNA", at positions 28 to 507 of the family's 1533-position model. The record is from RNAcentral.
GAUGAACGCUGGCGGUAUGCUUAACACAUGCAAGUCGAACGGACUCUUCGGAGUUAGUGGCGGACGGGUGAGUAACGCGUGAGAAUCUGGCUUUGGGUUCGGGACAACCACUGGAAACGGCGGCUAAUACCGGAUGUGCCGAGAGGUAAAAGAGAAAUUGCCUGAAGAUGAGCUCGCGUCUGAUUAGCUAGUUGGUGAGGUAAAGGCUCACCAAGGCAGCGAUCAGUAGCUGGUCUGAGAGGAUGACCAGCCACACUGGGACUGAGACACGGCCCAGACUCCUACGGGAGGCAGCAGUGGGGAAUUUUCCGCAAUGGGCGAAAGCCUGACGGAGCAAUACCGCGUGAGGGAAGAAGGCUCUUGGGGUGUAAACCUCUUUUCUUAGGGAAGAACAAAAUGACGGUACCUAAGGAAUCAGCAUCGGCUAACUCCGUG